This 552-nucleotide long non-coding RNA is filed under the name Nicotiana benthamiana. RNAcentral's name for it is "long non-coding RNA (NBEN_LNC029914)". The record is from RNAcentral. Lineage: Eukaryota; Viridiplantae; Streptophyta; Magnoliopsida; Solanales; Solanaceae.
AAGGAGGAACAUUAUCUAAAGAAGAGCUAAUUGCAGCUUACAUGGAGCAGAUUAAAAAAGAUAUUCAGAAGCAAAUUACUGAUGAUGAUGUUUUAAUGAGGGAUAAUUUUAAAGAUUCUCAGAGUGUAAAUAGUAUAACUUUAGAAGAUUUACCGGAUCUACUCAAGAAAGCUGAAGAAGAGAUUUUGAAAAUCAAAAAAGCCACUUAAGUUUCUAGAAGGGGCUAUUAUGUAAUUUUAUUCAUUUUACUGUAUGAUUAUUGACUUUUAUGUCGGUUACUAUGCACUUUUACUGUGCACGAUAUUUUCUAUAAAUAGGGUAGAUUUCAUUUAGAGGGCAAGGUUUUCGGAACCCCUCUCUCUCUCACUAAGAUUUUCCUCUCCCUUCUCUCUAAAAUUCCCUUUUGUAAUACUACUUGUAAUAGUUAUUGUGAAUAAAUAAAAGAAGUUCUGGUAAUCAGGUACUUUCCAUUUCUUGAGUUGUAUUAUUUUCUAUAUUAUAAUUGUGUUUUAUUUGUUUAUUUGACCAAUGAUGGGCUAAAUCCAUAAGUGU